This 32-nucleotide ribosomal RNA is filed under the name Trichomonas sp. Its description in RNAcentral is "partial 28S ribosomal RNA". Lineage: Eukaryota; Parabasalia; Trichomonadida; Trichomonadidae. The record is from RNAcentral.
AACGUGUCUGCAGUACGCAGGAAGACCCACUG